AUUGAACGCUGGCGGCAUGCUUUACACAUGCAAGUCGAACGGCAGCGCGGGCUUCGGCCUGGCGGCGAGUGGCGAACGGGUGAGUAAUACAUCGGAACGUGCCCAGUAGUGGGGGAUAGCUCGGCGAAAGCCGGAUUAAUACCGCAUACGACCUGAGGGUGAAAGCGGGGGAUCUUCGGACCUCGCGCUAUUGGAGCGGCCGAUGGCAGAUUAGCUAGUUGGUGGGGUAAAGGCCUACCAAGGCGACGAUCUGUAGCUGGUCUGAGAGGACGACCAGCCACCCUGGGACUGAUACACGGCCCAGACUCCUACGGGAGGCAGCAGUGGGGAAUUUUGGACAAUGGGCGAAAGCCUGAUCCAGCAAUGCCGCGUGUGUGAUGAAGGCCUUCGGGUUGUAAAGCACUUUUGGCGGGAACGAAAAGGACUGUGCCAAUACCACGGUUCGAUGACGGUACCCGCAGAAUAAGCACCGGCUAACUACGUG
RNAcentral lists this ribosomal RNA (484 nucleotides) under uncultured bacterium. Its description in RNAcentral is "partial 16S ribosomal RNA". It matches the Rfam family "Bacterial small subunit ribosomal RNA", at positions 29 to 507 of the family's 1533-position model. The record is from RNAcentral.